This 634-nucleotide ribosomal RNA is filed under the name Neptuniibacter sp. RNAcentral's name for it is "bacterial SSU rRNA". It matches the Rfam family "Bacterial small subunit ribosomal RNA", at positions 68 to 696 of the family's 1533-position model. The record is from RNAcentral. Lineage: Bacteria; Pseudomonadati; Pseudomonadota; Gammaproteobacteria; Oceanospirillales; Oceanospirillaceae.
ACAGCAUCUAGCUUGCUAGAUGCUGACGAGCGGCGGACGGGUGAGUAACGCGUAGGAAUCUACCCAGUAGCGGGGGAUAAGCCAGAGAAAUUUGGUCUAAUACCGCAUACGCCCUUCGGGGGAAAGCAGGGGCUCUUCGGACCUUGCACUAUUGGAUGAGCCUGCGUGAGAUUAGCUAGUUGGUGAGGUAAUGGCUCACCAAGGCGACGAUCUCUAGCUGGUCUGAGAGGAUGAUCAGCCACACUGGGACUGAGACACGGCCCAGACUCCUACGGGAGGCAGCAGUGGGGAAUAUUGCACAAUGGGCGAAAGCCUGAUGCAGCCAUGCCGCGUGUGUGAAGAAGGCCUUAGGGUUGUAAAGCACUUUCAGUCGUGAGGAAAGGUGUGUGCUUAAUACGUACAUACUGUGACGUUAGCGACAGAAGAAGGACCGGCUAACUCCGUGCCAGCAGCCGCGGUAAUACGGAGGGUCCGAGCGUUAAUCGGAAUUACUGGGCGUAAAGCGCGCGUAGGUGGAUUGGUCAGUCAGAUGUGAAAGCCCAGGGCUCAACCUUGGAACUGCAUCUGAUACUGCUAGUCUAGAAUACAGUAGAGGGUAGUGGAAUUUCCUGUGUAGCGGUGAAAUGCGUAGAUU